AGAGUUUGAUCAUGGCUCAGAAUCAACGCUGGCGGCGCGCUUAACACAUGCAAGUCGCACGAGAAAGGGGGCAACCCUGAGUAAAGUGGCGUACGGGUGAGUAACACGUGGAUUAUCUGCCUUUUAGUGGGGAAUAACCCUGGGAAACCGGGGCUAAUACCGCAUAAGCUCGUAAGAGGAAAGCAGCAAUGCGCUGAAAGAGGAAUCCGCGGCUGAUUAGCUAGUUGGUGGGGUAAUGGCUCACCAAGGCGAAGAUCGGUAGCCGGCCUGAGAGGGCACACGGCCACACUGGCACUGAAACACGGGCCAGACUCCUACGGGAGGCAGCAGUGGGGAAUCUUGCACAAUGGAGGAAACUCUGAUGCAGCGACGCCGCGUGAGCGAUGAAGCCCUUCGGGGUGUAAAGCUCUUUCGACGGGAACGAUAAUGACGGUACCCGAAGAAGAAGCUGCGGCUAACUACGUGCCAGCAGCCGCGGUAAUACGUAGGCAGCGAGCGUUGUUCGGAAUUACUGGGCGUAAAGAGUCUGUAGGCGGUGCUCUAAGUCUGGUGUGAAAUCUCCCGGCUCAACUGGGAGGGUGCGCCGGAAACUGGAGUGCUCGAGUGUGGGAGAGGUAAGCGGAAUUCCUGGUGUAGCGGUGAAAUGCGUAGAUAUCAGGAGGAACACCUGUGGUGUAGACAGCUUACUGGACCAUCACUGACGCUGAGAGACGAAAGCGUGGGUAGCAAACAGGAUUAGAUACCCUGGUAGUCCACGCCCUAAACGAUGCAUACUUGGUGUGAGCCAUUCAUUUGGUUCGUGCCGGAGCUAACGCGUUAAGUAUGCCGCCUGGGGAGUACGGUCGCAAGGCUGAAACUCAAAGGAAUUGACGGGGCCCGCACAAGCGGUGGAGCAUGUGGUUCAAUUCGACGCAACGCGAAGAACCUUACCUGGGCUCGAACGGCUUCGGACCAU
This 955-nucleotide ribosomal RNA is filed under the name uncultured bacterium. RNAcentral's name for it is "bacterial SSU rRNA". It matches the Rfam family "Bacterial small subunit ribosomal RNA", at positions 8 to 999 of the family's 1533-position model. The record is from RNAcentral.